UGAGCCUGAGAGGUGAUGCGUAGCCGAUUGAGGUGAAUUCAGUGAUCCUAUGCUGCCGAGAAAAGCCUCUAGUGAGUUGGUACACGGCCCGUACCCCAAACCGACACAGGUGGUCAGGUAGAGAAUACCGAGGCGAUCGAGAGAACUGUGGUUAAGGAACUCGGCAAAAUGCCCCCGUAACUUCGGGAGAAGGGGGACCUGAUCUGGUGACCGGUCUUGCACCGUGAGCUGGGUUGGGUCGCAGAGACCAGAGAGAAGCGACUGUUUACUAAAAACACAGGUCCGUGCGAAGUCGUAAGACGAUGUAUACGGACUGACGCCUGCCCGGUGCCGGAAGGUUAAGAGGACCGGUUAGCGCUUCGGCGCGAAGCUGAGAAUUUAAGCCCCGGUAAACGGCGGUGGUAACUAUAACCAUCCUAAGGUAGCGAAAUUCCUUGUCGGGUAAGUUCCGACCUGCACGAAUGGCGUAACGACUUCUCUGCUGUCUCAACCACAGACUCGGCGAAAUUGCAUUACGAGUAAAGAUGCUCGUUACGCGCGGCAGGACGAAAAGACCCCGGGACCUUCACUAUAGCUUGGUAUUGGUGUUCGGUACGGUUUGUGUAGGAUAGGUGGGAGACUGUGAAAGCCACACGCCAGUGUGGUGGGAGUCGUCGUUGAAAUACCACUCUGAUCGUAUUGGACUUCUAACCUCGGGCCAUGAUCUGGUUCAGGGACAGUGCCUGGUGGGUAGUUUAACUGGGGCGGUUGCCUCCUAAA
This 759-nucleotide ribosomal RNA is filed under the name Nocardia farcinica. Its description in RNAcentral is "partial 23S ribosomal RNA". It matches the Rfam family "Bacterial large subunit ribosomal RNA", at positions 1551 to 2294 of the family's 2925-position model. The record is from RNAcentral. Lineage: Bacteria; Bacillati; Actinomycetota; Actinomycetes; Mycobacteriales; Nocardiaceae.